This 553-nucleotide ribosomal RNA is filed under the name uncultured archaeon. Its description in RNAcentral is "bacterial SSU rRNA". It matches the Rfam family "Archaeal small subunit ribosomal RNA", at positions 326 to 879 of the family's 1478-position model. The record is from RNAcentral.
CGGGGUGCAGCAGGCGCGAAAACUUUACAAUGCGGGAAACCGUGAUAAGGGGACACCGAGUGCCAGCAUCAUAUGCUGGCUGUCCGGGUGUGUAAAAUACACCCGUUAGCAAGGGCCGGGCAAGACCGGUGCCAGCCGCCGCGGUAACACCGGCGGCCCGAGUGGUGAUCGUGAUUAUUGGGUCUAAAGGGUCCGUAGCCGGUUUGGUCAGUCCUCCGGGAAAUCUGACGGCUCAACCGUUAGGCUUUCGGGGGAUACUGCCAGGCUUGGAACCGGGAGAGGUAAGAGGUACUACAGGGGUAGGAGUGAAAUCUUGUAAUCCCUGUGAGACCACCUGUGGCGAAGGCGUCUUACCAGAACGGGUUCGACGGUGAGGGACGAAAGCUGGGGGCACGAACCGGAUUAGAUACCCGGGUAGUCCCAGCCGUAAACGAUGCUCGCUAGGUGUCAGGCAUGGCGCGACCGUGUCUGGUGCCGCAGGGAAGCCGUGAAGCGAGCCACCUGGGAAGUACGGCCGCAAGGCUGAAACUUAAAGGAAUUGGCGGGGGAGCAC